Molecule: ribosomal RNA, 269 nt
Filed under: uncultured prokaryote
Description: partial 16S ribosomal RNA
Rfam family: Bacterial small subunit ribosomal RNA
Source: RNAcentral
UACGGAGGUGGCAAGCGUUGUUCGGAUUUACUGGGUGUAAAGGGCAUGUAGGUGGUUGGAUAAGUCCCAAUUGAAAUCCUUCGGCUUAACCGAAGAAGUGGUUGGGAAACUGUCUAGCUUGAGUUCAGGAGAGGAGAAUGGAAUUCCCGGUGUAAAGGUGAAAUUUGUAGAGAUCGGGAGGAACACCUGUGGCGAAGGCGAUUCUCUGGCCUGAAACUGACACUGAAAUGCGAAAGCUACGGGAGCAAACAGGAUUAGAUACCCGAGUA